AUGUGUGUGCCGAAAGAUCAGGGAUGUAUGGGUUCUGGAGAUAUAUAUUGUUUCAAUAUCACUUUGCUAGCUAAACAAGUGCAACGUCUUCUUGACAACCAUAAUUUUUUAUGUGCAUCUAUCUUGAGAGCUAAAUAUUUGUCUCAUGGAGACCUGAUGAAUGCAAGCUUAAAAAGGGUUCCUAUUUUAUUUUCCAAAGCAUUAUGGCGGAAAUUAAUUCGCCGGAAAAAUGGGUAUAUCUGGAGGGUGGGAAAUGGACAAAAUAUCGAUAUUUGGAAAGAUGCUUGGAUUCUAAAUUGUGCAAAUAGGAAAUCAUUACCCUGA
RNAcentral lists this ribosomal RNA (324 nucleotides) under Triticum aestivum (bread wheat). RNAcentral describes it as "partial small subunit ribosomal RNA". The record is from RNAcentral. Lineage: Eukaryota; Viridiplantae; Streptophyta; Magnoliopsida; Poales; Poaceae.